Molecule: transfer RNA, 77 nt
Filed under: Mycobacterium avium
Lineage: Bacteria; Bacillati; Actinomycetota; Actinomycetes; Mycobacteriales; Mycobacteriaceae
Also listed under: 2 other names
Description: tRNA-Leu
Rfam family: tRNA
About the family: Transfer RNA (tRNA) molecules are approximately 80 nucleotides in length. Their secondary structure includes four short double-helical elements and three loops (D, anti-codon, and T loops).
Source: RNAcentral
GCGCCUGUAGCCCAAAUGGGAGAGGCACCGGUCUUAGGUGCCGGUCAGUGUGGGUUCGAAUCCUUCCAGGCGCACAA